UUGGGCGUAAAGCGCGCGCAGGCGGUCCUUUAAGUUUGAUGUGAAAGCCCACGGCUCAACCGUGGAGGGUCAUUGGAAACUGGGGGACUUGAGUGCAGAAGAGAAGAGUGGAAUUCCACGUGUAGCGGUGAAAUGCGUAGAGAUGUGGAGGAACACCAGUGGCGAAGGCGACUCUUUGGUCUGUAACUGACGCUGAGGCGCGAAAGCGUGGGGAGCAACAGGAUUAGAUACCCUGGUAGUCCACGCCGUAAACGAUGAGUGCUAAGUGUUAGAGGGUUUCCGCCCUUUAGKGCUGCAGCAAACGCAUUAAGCACUCCGCCUGGGGAGUACGGCCGCAAGGCUGAAACUCAAAGGAAUUGACGGGGGCCCGCACAAGCGGUGGAGCAUGUGGUUUAAUUCAAAGCAACGCGAAAAACCUUACCAGGUCUUGACUUCUCCUGACAAUCCUAAAGAUAGGACGUUCCCCUUCGGGGGACAGGAUGACAGGUGGUGCAUGGUUGUCGUCAGCUCGUGUCGUGAGAUGUUGGGUUA
This 531-nucleotide ribosomal RNA is filed under the name Niallia nealsonii. Its description in RNAcentral is "bacterial SSU rRNA". Lineage: Bacteria; Bacillati; Bacillota; Bacilli; Caryophanales; Bacillaceae. The record is from RNAcentral.